UACGGAGGGUGCAAGCGUUGUCCGGAUUCAUUGGGUUUAAAGGGUGCGUAGGCGGUUUGUUAAGUCGGAUGUGAAAUCCCUCGGCUCAACUGAGGAAGUGCAUCCGAAACUGGCAAGCUUGAGUACGAAAGAGGGUCGCGGAAUUCCCGGUGUAGAGGUGAAAUUCGUAGAUAUCGGGAGGAACACCGGUGGCGAAGGCGGCGACCUGGGUCGAUACUGACGCUGAGGUGCGAAAGCGUGGGGAGCAAACAGG
This 253-nucleotide ribosomal RNA is filed under the name uncultured bacterium. Its description in RNAcentral is "partial 16S ribosomal RNA". It matches the Rfam family "Bacterial small subunit ribosomal RNA", at positions 524 to 776 of the family's 1533-position model. The record is from RNAcentral.